UUUCUGACUUACAACCCGGGAUUUCUUUUUCAGCAGAACUUGUUGAGGACUUUCAAGAAAGGAAAGUGCUGGAGGUGCAGCGAGGCUUCUGAUAAGCGUGAAACAGAACUUGCAAAUGGAAAUGAAUAUGCAAUCAAAUAUAUGCUGCGUUGCCCUGCUGGAUUCAA
Hemicordylus capensis (graceful crag lizard) is the source of this 167-nucleotide long non-coding RNA. RefSeq lists it as uncharacterized. The record is from RefSeq and is a predicted model, not a curated record. NCBI's taxonomy places the organism in Eukaryota, Metazoa, Chordata, Lepidosauria, Squamata, Cordylidae. The transcript has 2 exons.